UGCAUCUGCAGCUCAUGAGGAUGAGAACCUCCGGGGGCAGGGAGGUUCGACUCGAGCGAAGCGAGAGAACGUUGCGCCAGCAACGGCCCGCAGGGCGAGCCAC
This 103-nucleotide small RNA is filed under the name Escherichia coli. RNAcentral's name for it is "partial RtT sRNA". It matches the Rfam family "RtT RNA", at positions 1 to 99 of the family's 130-position model. From Rfam's summary of the family: This family represents a bacterial cis-regulatory element known as RtT RNA. Lineage: Bacteria; Pseudomonadati; Pseudomonadota; Gammaproteobacteria; Enterobacterales; Enterobacteriaceae. The record is from RNAcentral.